UGACCUUAUCUCCUCUGAUGCUUUUCCAGCAUUAUGGUUGUAAGAGCAUUAUGGAACAUCUAGUCCACAACAUCUAGAGUUCUGGAGUUUGUCAACCCUUGGUGCUUCUAUCACUGCUUUUGCCCCCCGCAUGCACACACUUAAAGUGGGAUCUUCCUUCUGUCACUACUCUGGUGUUUGCUGAUGAUAAACGAUUUUCCCUAUAGCUUUUCCCAGUAAACAAAGUCAUAAUGUUAGAAAUGUCUCUCAUUCGCAAAACAUACUGACCAGACUAGAGCUUUGUUCCAUCAGUUGCCAUUAGGUCAUAUUGACUACUCUAAACCAAAUGUCAGGCCAAAUCUGGUUCCCACUAAAAUAGAACUAUUUACUCUCCAUUACUAGAUUUUGAUUGGCUUUAUGAUGCAAAGUCUUUAAUAAUAUGAUAAUCCCAAUUUGUGAUUACAAUUCUGUGUUUGUAUGUGGUUUUUGUAACCUGUUUUGUAUCUGAUGCAGGAAACAGGAUAUUUUUGGGGUGACCACAAUUUUCCGUAACAUCGGCCUCACACCAACUUCAAUCGAC
Non-coding RNA from Pelobates cultripes (western spadefoot toad), 559 nucleotides. Lineage: Eukaryota; Metazoa; Chordata; Amphibia; Anura; Pelobatidae. The record is from the annotation of a GenBank genome assembly.